GCAGGACAUUUUUUCUUUUAGUGGUGACAGUAUCUCCAGGGAGAUCUACCUAAGAUUUCCUCAGCAUUCUGUGUCCAACUGUUUGCUCAGUGAGAUAAGAAAAGUGCUAUAGCUGUGAGUAAAUACUCCAGGCUUUAAGGAAAUCCUGAAGACUUGUUGCAGAAUUACACAAUGGGGGAUUUGGGAACUGAGCACACUUCUGCCAGCACUGACCAGGAUCAGAGGUUAUCAGAGAUGAAGGAGAGGAUGCUCAGCAGUGAUAAAUGAACCUGGCACUUCUGACCCUGACCUCCUACCAGGAGUGGACAAGGAGGGUCCUGGAGCUCAGGGAGAAACAACGAUAACAAGUGAUGUGCCAGAAAAGGUCAUAGAAUAAGAAUGGAGACUCUCGCUUGU
Molecule: long non-coding RNA, 396 nt
Filed under: Zonotrichia albicollis (white-throated sparrow)
Lineage: Eukaryota; Metazoa; Chordata; Aves; Passeriformes; Passerellidae
Description: lncRNA (ENSZALG00000009538.1)
Source: RNAcentral